Molecule: ribosomal RNA, 468 nt
Filed under: uncultured bacterium
Lineage: Bacteria
Description: partial 16S ribosomal RNA
Rfam family: Bacterial small subunit ribosomal RNA
Source: RNAcentral
GACGAACGCUGGCGGCGUGCUUAACACAUGCAAGUCGAACGGAAAGGCCCUGCUUUGUGGGGUUCCUCGGGGGGCAACCGGGUAAUUAACCGGUGAUUACCCUGCCCUUGCCUUUGGGUUACCUUCAGGAACCUGGGGCUAAUACCGGAUAGGGCCCCCGGCGGCAUGUGGGGGGUGGGAAGGUUUCGGCGGUUGGGGAUGGACUCGCGGCUUAUCAGCUUGUUGGUGGGGUAGUGGCUUACCAAGGCUUUGACGGGUAGCCGGCCUGAGAGGGUGACCGGCCACAUUGGGACUGAGAUACGGCCCAGACUCCUACGGGAGGCAGCAGUGGGGAAUAUUGCACAAUGGGCGGAAGCCUGAUGCAGCAACGCCGCGUGCGGGAUGACGGCCUUCGGGUUGUAAACCGCUUUCGCCUGUGACGAAGCGUGAGUGACGGUAAUGGGUAAAGAAGCACCGGCUAACUACGUG